This 253-nucleotide ribosomal RNA is filed under the name uncultured bacterium. RNAcentral's name for it is "partial 16S ribosomal RNA". It matches the Rfam family "Bacterial small subunit ribosomal RNA", at positions 524 to 776 of the family's 1533-position model. The record is from RNAcentral.
UACGUAGGUGGCAAGCGUUGUCCGGAUUUAUUGGGUUUAAAGGGUGCGUAGGCGGUCUAUUAAGUCAGUUGUGAAAUACGGCAGCUCAACUGUCGAGGUGCAAUUGAUACUGAUGGACUUGAGUACAGAUGAGGUAGGCGGAAUUGACGGUGUAGCGGUGAAAUGCUUAGAUAUCGUCAAGAACACCUAUAGCGAAGGUAGCUUACUAGGCUGUAACUGACGCUGAGGCACGAAAGUGUGGGGAUCAAACAGG